RNAcentral lists this unclassified non-coding RNA (300 nucleotides) under uncultured Ascomycota. Its description in RNAcentral is "sequence contains ITS1". The stretch from base 1 to 105 matches the Rfam family "5.8S ribosomal RNA", at positions 50 to 154 of the family's 154-position model. Lineage: Eukaryota; Fungi; Ascomycota. The record is from RNAcentral.
GAAAUGCGAAAAGUAGUGUGAAUUGCAGAAUUCCGUGAAUCAUCGAAUCUUUGAACGCACAUUGCGCCCCUCGGUAUUCCGUGGGGCAUGCCUGUUCGAGCGUCAUUUACACCCUCAAGCUCUGCUUGGUGUUGGGCGUCUGUCCCGCUUCAUGUGUGGACUCGCCCCAAAGUCAUUGGCAGCGGUCGUGCCAGCUUCUCGCGCAGCACAUUUGCGUUUCUUGAAGCUUGGUGGAUCAGCAUCCAGUAAGUUCUUCUAUGACUUGACCUCGGAUCAGGUAGGGAUACCCGCUGAACUUAA